Molecule: long non-coding RNA, 1460 nt
Filed under: Homo sapiens (human)
Lineage: Eukaryota; Metazoa; Chordata; Mammalia; Primates; Hominidae
Description: HSALNT0064216
Source: RNAcentral
AUCAUGGCAACCUGCAUUUGCAUAUUAAAGGGCUAAGGUGGGUGGACCAGGUGUUUUGCAGGCUACAUAAAUGACACACCUGGUCAAACCAAUCCCCUGGGCCCUAUGCAAACCAGACACUGCCCCCUGCAGCAUCCCAAUAUAAGCAACCACUUUUCUGCCACACACCAAGUUUCUGUUUGUUCUAAUCCCCCCUCCCUCUGUCUCUGUAUGGGGGAGCUGUUUUCUUCUUCCUUCCUUCUUGCCUAAUAAACUCUCCACUCCUUAAAACCAUUACAUGUGUGUCUGUGUCAUUUUAUCUAAACUGGUGCGAGACCAAGGACCCUGGUGUUCCUCCAGUCAUCGGAGCCGUAUCAUUUUGGUGCAUUGGCCAGGAAUUCAUUCAUCGGAGCGAAGCAAUUAAACUCCAAAUGGUACUGCAAGCAGAACCACACAUGGACACGCCAUUCUUCCAAGAAUCCUUAAAUCAACCUCAGGAGAAGGCCCAACUGCUGCUCCCCUGCAUGCUCCUUUUCAGCAGGAAGUGGCCACAAAGAAUCAUCGUCCAACACCCCCUAACAGCAGUUAGGUUUGCUUCUCUUGAGGGGGGAAAUAAUACAGGUGUUACUUAAAAAAGUUUUUUUAGGCAGAGAGAGAGGCUAAAAGGAGUUCUUGGUAAGGCUUUUUCUGUUAAUAAAAGCAAACCCCGAACCAUUUCUUUUCUAACAGAAAAACCGCUUGAAGGGCCGGGCCAGGAAGCUUUGAUACGCAAAUGCCGCCCGUUAGAAAUGGUCCACCCAAUAUGGCGACUCCUGCCUUCUUCUUGUCACCAUGUGUGCCAAGUGUCAUGGCUACCUCCAGAUAAUACCAUGUGUUCAGAACAUCAUGGCGAUCCGUAUUUGCAUAUUAAAGAGCUAAGGUGGGAAAUUUCGCCAGGUUUUUCACAGGCAAUGUAAAUAACAUACCUGGUCAAACCAAUCCCCUGGGCCCUAUGCAAACCAGACACCACCUCCUCCAGCAUCCCAAUAUAAGCAACCACUUUUCCUGCCACACACGGGGUUUCUCGUCGUUCGAAUCCCCCCUCCCUUUGUCUCUGUACCGGGGAGCUGUUUUCUUCCUUGCUUCUCUCUUGCCUAAUAAACUCUCCGCUCCUUAAAACUACUCCACACGUGUCUGUGUCAUUUUAUCUAAACUGGCGCGAGACCAAGGACCCUGGUGUUCCUUCAGUCAUCGGAGCCAUGUCAUUUACACCUCUCUUGGUCCUAUUCUUGUCUCACUCUCCUUUGCCUUCCAUACACACAGGCACAUAAAAAUGAGACUUUUAAAAAAUUAAGUUUAUACUCACAUCUCUGUUACCUCCCACAACAAUAACUAGAUCGUGAGCUCCUUGGGAAAAAGUCUGGGUCUCGGGGGCCAAAUUUUUUUCCAGUGCCUCAUGUACACGAGGUCAUAAACAAAUGCCCUUCCUGAGGCUACCCAAG